This 1020-nucleotide long non-coding RNA is filed under the name Junco hyemalis (dark-eyed junco). Its description in RNAcentral is "lncRNA (ENSJHYG00000016245.1)". Lineage: Eukaryota; Metazoa; Chordata; Aves; Passeriformes; Passerellidae. The record is from RNAcentral.
GUCAUCUCUUCAUAUCUCUCUAUCAAGUAGAAUUGGUUUUGGUGAAAGAGCAAUCUGAACCUUCUUUUUUAAUAUAAUUAUGAUGAGCACAGUGGGAAUAUGUGCAGAAAGAAAAUCAUCCAAGGCUAACUGGAUGGUUCAUGUGACUGUGAGAGGUUCUGUACACCAAGAAGGUACCUCUGAGAAAACCUGGGCUUCAGUCAGGAAAAGUUUCCUGAGAAUGGGACUGAAGCAUCUGGGUGUAUGCUGCCGUUGUUAUGAGCAAAUCCGAACUAUGGACCUGAUACAUCCUCGCAGCAGGUUAUGCCUGCUCAGCCUGCCUUCAGUUUGUGUAUAUCCUUCUCUACACAUGAAGUGAUCUCUCCACAGUAAUUGUUUAAAAGUCAGUUUCUAAGAAUAUUCCACCUAUUUAAAUCGUUUUCAAUAGUGAGAACAGAGAGCAAAUGCAGAAAAUGAGAACACAGAUUAAGUGGAUUUGUUUUUAAAUUAAAUGAGUGGAAAAUAUUUAUUGGAUUCAUUGUUCUCCAACUGUAAAAGCUGCUAUUGAAUUCCUGUUUGUCUUAAGUAAACACUUGUCCCUGGAGCCUUCAAGCAAUGUUUUUCUUUCUAUCAGGUGCACACUUCAAAAGCCAAUGUCUUCUGUUUAAUGACCUGCCAGAGGCCUCGUUACACUUUCUCUUUGUCCUGAUCAUCAUGUUGGGGAAUCUUCUGAUACCAGGCUGUGCAGGUCAGCCAGUAUCAGGAGUCUUGCUUUGACCAUUUGGGGUUCAUCCUCAAAGUGCUUUGAGGAACUGUACUUUGCUCACUUAGAACUUAACUUGGCCUAUUAAAAUUUGUACUUUGUUUGUGCAGUCUGAAAUGCCGUGGCUGUAUUAUUGGCACUUCAGAAACACAGGUUUAAUGCUCCCUCAGAGUUCAACCUAAAAUAAUUUCUUAGUAUCAAGCUUGUUCAUUCGUUGUAGUGGUAGUUUUGAUUAUAUUGGAGGUGUUCUGAAAGGCAGUAUUUAUAGAAAGAGAUCA